Long non-coding RNA from Mytilus trossulus (common blue mussel), 331 nucleotides. RefSeq lists it as uncharacterized. The transcript is spliced from 4 exons. NCBI's taxonomy places the organism in Eukaryota, Metazoa, Mollusca, Bivalvia, Mytilida, Mytilidae. The record is from RefSeq and is a predicted model, not a curated record.
ACCCAUCCUGAUGUCCGGGUAACAGGAAUUUCUGCAGAGUGAUUGUCAAUGACAUUUUGUGAAAUUUACAAUUCUAGCUGUCUAGUUUUGGCGAAGAUUACCCAUCCUGAUGUCCGGGUAACAGGAAUUUCUGCAGAGUGAUUGUCAAUGACAUUUUGUGAAAUUUACAAUUCUAGCUGUCUAGUUUUGGCGAAGAUUACCCAUCCUGAUGUCCGGGUAACAGGAAUUUCUGCAGAGUGAUUGUCAAUGACAUUUUGUGAAAUUUACAAUUCUAGCUGUCUAGUUUUGGCGAAGAUUACCCAUCCUGAUGUCCGGGUAACAGGAAUUUCUG